GUGGGGAAUAUUCCGCAAUGGACGAAAGUCUGACGGAGCAACGCCGCGUGAGUGAUGAAGGUUUUCGGACUGUAAAGCUCUGUUGUUUAGGACGAAAGUGCCUGUUGCAAAUAGUUACAGGUAUUGACGGUACUGAACGAGGAAGCCACGGCUAACUACGUGCCAGCAGCCGCGGUAAUACGUAGGUGGCAAGCGUUGUCCGGCAUUAUUGGGCGUAAAGAGCAUGUAGGCGGGAAUCUAAGUCUGUUGUGAAAAUGCGGGGCUCAACCCCGUAUUGCGAUGGAAACUGGGUUUCUUGAGUGCAGGAGAGGAAAGGGGAAUUCCCAGUGUAGCAGUGAAAUGCGUAGAUAUUGGGAGGAACACCAGUGGCGAAGGCGCCUUUCUGGACUGUGUCUGACGCUGAGAUGCGAAAGCCAGGGGAGCAAACGGGAUUAGAAACCCUGGUAGUCC
RNAcentral lists this ribosomal RNA (450 nucleotides) under uncultured bacterium. Its description in RNAcentral is "partial 16S ribosomal RNA". It matches the Rfam family "Bacterial small subunit ribosomal RNA", at positions 354 to 796 of the family's 1533-position model. The record is from RNAcentral.